This 486-nucleotide ribosomal RNA is filed under the name Enterobacter hormaechei. Its description in RNAcentral is "bacterial SSU rRNA". It matches the Rfam family "Bacterial small subunit ribosomal RNA", at positions 30 to 504 of the family's 1533-position model. Lineage: Bacteria; Pseudomonadati; Pseudomonadota; Gammaproteobacteria; Enterobacterales; Enterobacteriaceae. The record is from RNAcentral.
AUUGAACGCUGGCGGCAGGCCUAACACAUGCAAGUCGAACGGUAACAGGAAGCAGCUUGCUGCUUUGCUGACGAGUGGCGGACGGGUGAGUAAUGUCUGGGAAACUGCCUGAUGGAGGGGGAUAACUACUGGAAACGGUAGCUAAUACCGCAUAACGUCGCAAGACCAAAGAGGGGGACCUUCGGGCCUCUUGCCAUCGGAUGUGCCCAGAUGGGAUUAGCUAGUAGGUGGGGUAACGGCUCACCUAGGCGACGAUCCCUAGCUGGUCUGAGAGGAUGACCAGCCACACUGGAACUGAGACACGGUCCAGACUCCUACGGGAGGCAGCAGUGGGGAAUAUUGCACAAUGGGCGCAAGCCUGAUGCAGCCAUGCCGCGUGUAUGAAGAAGGCCUUCGGGUUGUAAAGUACUUUUCAGCGGGGAGGAAGGCGAUAAGGUUAAUAACCUUGUCGAUUGACGUUACCCGCAGAAGAGCACCGCUAACUCC